RNAcentral lists this ribosomal RNA (492 nucleotides) under uncultured bacterium. Its description in RNAcentral is "partial 16S ribosomal RNA". It matches the Rfam family "Bacterial small subunit ribosomal RNA", at positions 29 to 507 of the family's 1533-position model. The record is from RNAcentral.
AGUGAACGCUGGCGGUAGGCCUAACACAUGCAAGUCGAACGGCAGCACAGUAAGAGCUUGCUCUUACGGGUGGCGAGUGGCGGACGGGUGAGGCAUACAUCGGAAUCUACUUUUUCGUGGGGGAUAACGUAGGGACACUUACGCUAAUACCGCAUACGACCUACGGGUGAAAGCAGGGGAUCUUCGGACCUUGCGCGAUUGAAUGAGCCGAUGCCGGAUUAGCUAGUUGGCGGGGUAAAGGCCCACCAAGGCGACGAUACGUAGCUGGUCUGAGAGGAUGAUCAGCCACACUGGAACUGAGACACGGUCCAGACUCCUACGGGAGGCAGCAGUGGGGAAUAUUGGACAAUGGGCGCAAGCCUGAUCCAGCCAUACCGCGUGGGUGAAGAAGGCCUUCGGGUUGUAAAGCCCUUUUGUUGGGAAAGAAAAGCAGCAGGUUAAUACCCCGCCGUUCUGACGGUACCCAAAGAAUAAGCACCGGCUAACUUCGUG